GCAAGUCGAGGGGUAACAGGGGAGCUUGCUCCCGCUGACGACCGGCGAACGGGUGAGUAACGCGUACGUAACCUACCUUCAAGAGAGGGAUAGCCCUGGGAAACUGGGAUUAAUACCUCAUGGCAUCAUAAGAUCACCUGAUCUAAUGAUUAAAGCUGAGGCGCUUGAAGAUGGGCGUGCGUUCUAUUAGAUAGUUGGUGAGGUAACGGCUCACCAAGUCAGCGAUAGAUAGGGGGCGUGAGAGCGUGGUCCCCCACACGGGUACUGAGACACGGACCCGACUCCUACGGGAGGCAGCAGUAAGGAAUAUUGGACAAUGGGCGAAAGCCUGAUCCAGCCAUUCCGCGUGUAGGAUGACGGCCCUCUGGGUUGUAAACUACUUUUAUUUGGGAAGAAACCCUGGGAUUUAUCCCGGGCUGACGGUACCAAAAGAAUAAGCACCGGCUAAUUCCGUGCCAGCAGCCGCGGUAAUACGGAAGGUGCAAGCGUUAUCCGGAAUCACUGGGUUUAAAGGGUGCGUAGGCGGUUGCGUAAGUCAGAAGUGAAAGCUCACAGCUUAACUGUGGAAUUGCUUUUGAUACUGCGUGACUAGAAUUAGGUUGAGGUUGGCGGAAUGUGACAUGUAGCGGUGAAAUGCGUAGAUAUGUCAUAGAACACCAAUUGCGAAGGCAGCUGACUGGACCUAUAUUGACGCUGAGGCACGAAAGCGUGGGGAGCGAACAGGAUUAGAUACCCUGGUAGUCCACGCCCUAAACGAUGCUUACUCGAUGUGUGAACUAUUGCGCAUCCAAG
RNAcentral lists this ribosomal RNA (792 nucleotides) under uncultured marine bacterium. RNAcentral's name for it is "bacterial SSU rRNA". It matches the Rfam family "Bacterial small subunit ribosomal RNA", at positions 57 to 851 of the family's 1533-position model. The record is from RNAcentral.